AUGCCCUGCUGUCUCCUUGCCCUUCUCCUGGGCACUUUCUUAGGUGUCAGAGCUCAGACCAUCCGUCAAUGGCCACUUAUCAGGGUGCAGCCUGCAGGCAGCCCGCUCUCCCUGGAGUGUACUGUGAAGGGGGCAUCAAGCCCCAACCUGUACUGGUACCGGCAGGUGGCAGGAGGGACCCUCCAGCUGCUCUUCUACUCCGUUGGUGUUGGCCAGAUAGACCCUGAGGAGCCCCAGAACUUCGAAGCCUCCAGGCCCCAGGACGACCUGUUCAUCCUGAGUUCUAAGAAGCUCCUGCUCAGUGACUCUGGCUUCUACCUCUGCGCCUGGAGUCUCACACUGAGCUGGGUAGGGCAGACAUCUGUGCAGAAACCCCAGCCUCUCCCAAGUCCUCACCACCUGCUCCAGGAGCCCUCAUUCAGGGGCUGGGCAGAGGACGUUUGUCACCGGCUUUCUGACUGUCAGCCGACGUGA
Molecule: non-coding RNA, 474 nt
Organism: Balaenoptera ricei (Rice's whale)
Lineage: Eukaryota; Metazoa; Chordata; Mammalia; Artiodactyla; Balaenopteridae
Source: the annotation of a RefSeq genome assembly